RNAcentral lists this ribosomal RNA (468 nucleotides) under uncultured bacterium. Its description in RNAcentral is "partial 16S ribosomal RNA". It matches the Rfam family "Bacterial small subunit ribosomal RNA", at positions 28 to 507 of the family's 1533-position model. The record is from RNAcentral.
GACGAACGCUGGCGGCGUGCUUAACACAUGCAAGUCGAACGGAAAGGCCCUGCUUUUGUGGGGCGCUCGAGUGGCGAACGGGUGAGUAACACGUGAGUAACCUGCCCUUGACUUUGGGAUAACUUCAGGAAACUGGGGCUCAUACCGGAUAGGAGCUCUUGCUGCAUGGUGGGGGUUGGAAAGUUUCGGCGGUUGGGGAUGGACUCGAGGCUUAUCAGCUUGUUGGUGGGGUAGUGGAUUACCAAGGCUUUGACGGGUAGCCGGCCUGAGAGGGUGACCGGCGACAUUGGGACUGAGAUACGGCCCAGACGGCUACGUGAGGCAGCGGUGGGGAGUAUUACACAAUAGGCGGAAGCGUGAUGCAACAACGCCGCGUGCGUGAUGACGGCCUUCGGGUUGUAAACCGCUUUCGCCUGUGACGAGGCGUGAGUGACGGUAAUGGGUAAGAAAGCACCGGCUAACUACGUG